This is a long non-coding RNA of Hemicordylus capensis (graceful crag lizard), 2821 nucleotides long. RefSeq lists it as uncharacterized. The record is from RefSeq and is a predicted model, not a curated record. NCBI's taxonomy places the organism in Eukaryota, Metazoa, Chordata, Lepidosauria, Squamata, Cordylidae. The transcript has 2 exons.
GGGGAAGAGGCGGCGGGGGAAGCCGGCCGAGUCCUGGUGGCGGCGCCGAAGCCAGGCAGGGGGAAGAGGACCCCCCCACCAGAGGAAGAGGAAGAGGCAGAGGAAGAAGCCGGGCGAGGCGGCCGCUGGACGGGACAUCACAAUACUGCCUACCAACAUAUGAAGUAAUAACAAUUUGUUUUCAGAAAUAGGAUUUUGAGCUGACAUAUAUGUUUGGCUUUGCUAUGUAAAUUGUUUAAAAGAACAAAUACUUUUAAGAAGGAAGGAAGGAAGGAAGGAAGGAAGGAAGAAGGAUAUAUCUUUUACUUUUAGAUGAGUAAUCCAAGGGACAGUGGAAGGUUCAAGAGACAGUGGAAGCUAUUGUAUCCAAGCUGAAAAUCCUACUGUCUGUUCCCAAGUAUGUGGAGACUGGCUAUACUUUUUCUGCGAUGAAAUAAAGGCACUCUGCACAUGUUCAGAGGCACUCACAUCACCAAUAAUUCUGUUCCAGGGAGAAUGGGGGAAGCAAGCUGGGAGUCGCUCAGAGUGCCAAGCUGAUUGUUAGGUUGGACCUGCAAAUAUUGUGAAUCGCCUAGAGAUUUUUGAUUAGGCAAUAUAGAAAUGUAAUGCAUAAAUGAAUAGCUCUGCCUGGGAUAAAAACUGCUGGCCAAAUAUUGACAAUCUGCUUCCGACUGAAAACAGCAUCGCAUAGUUCUGUAAGGUUCCAAGAUACGGGUAUGAAAGGAGGAACAUUGUUGUGGUACAAUGUUCAUUUUUGUUAUUAAGCGUUUUGGUACUCGUGUUAAUUGUUUUGUUUUGUUUUGUUUCAGAACUAAUUAUAGCCUCCCUGCUUUUUAACUCACUUUAGUUUUUGUUGGCUUUUUUCUCCCCCCGCACCCCAUCCUUUUAACCUUUUGCCAUCACUUGCAGCCAUGGCAGGUGCUUGGGGUCCUCUGUGCAACUGCCUCCUGGAGGUCAUGUUAUUUUCUCACAAUGCCCUCGAUGCGGUGUCAGUCCAAAGAAUUUUAGAAGGGGGGAAAUGGUUGCCACCAGUGGGGGCUGCCAUAUUUUUGCGGCAGCCACUAUUGUAUUUUCUCACAAUGCUCUGGACCAAAACUGCUCCGGAACAAUUCCUUUCUAUUUCUCUGGACCCACCAAAUCACUCAGUUAACCCCUUUAAUUGCAUAUCACCUCUCAGCCAUUCGCUCACAUUAAGAAGCAUGAACUUGUCUUUCUCUUCAGCCAUUAAGGAAUUAGAAGUGGGUUGGGUAAUUUGCAGUGAAUCGAUGCAGUGAAUCGAUGGCUCAGCCCAAUCUGUUGUGUGCAAGUGAAUCCAACUUCCAGCGUUGGGACAGCUAUGCCAACAUUGGGCAUGCUGUGUGAACCCAUCAACGUCAGCAUAUUCUGUCCUACUUGUGGUCCAGAAGCCAACAUCUGUAACCGAGAUUUGAAGUGGGGACAGAUGUUGACUUCUGUAUCCCAAGUAAGGUGGAAUAUGUCGACAUCGGUGGGUUCACACAGCACAUCCAAUGUCAGCAUAGCAGUCCUGAUAGUGGAAGUCAGGCUUGCACAUACAUUCUGGAAAAUAACAGUCCAGUUCACGAUGAUGUCUGAGUCUGAACCUUCCCAUUAGCAUUCUUUUGCCAGAUCCUGGGCACUCUGAUCAGACAUCACUUCUGGGCAAAACUCUAAUAGUACUAGGGGCAUGUCUGCACCAUCAUCUGAAAGUGGUUUAAUAGUCAUACCCUCUCUCCAUGCAAACUGAGGACAGUGGCUGACAUCUGGACGAUUGUAGGGACAUGACUGAGGCCCGCAUGCAACCUCUCCAGUCCCUCUAUGUGUGUGUUAUUUCGAUGUGUGUGUUGUUGCACAAAUGGGCAAACCAUCCCUGCUCCGGAAGUGCUCUGGCAAAUGUAGAGGGAUUGGGGGAAAGCUGCACAUGGGCUCCAGUCAUGUCAAACAUGUGCUUUGUUAGUCAAGAUGCUAGCCAUUGGUGUGUGUGUGUGAGAGAGAGAGAGAGAGAGAGAGAGAGAGAGAGGGAGAGGGUGGGGGGAGAGAGAGAAAGAGAGGAGCAAAGUGCACCAUUUCUGGGAGGAAGAAACAGACACCAUUUCAUGAAAUGUUUCCGUUUUUCUCGCUGGGAGGUAAUUUGAAAUUCUCAUUACUCCCGUGAUGGUUGCAAAGAUAGACAAUAAGUCUUCUGGAAAUUGCUGGAAAUGCAUGAACCCGGCGGGAACAUUCUACCAUUUGUGGUGGACAUGGAGUAAAGCGCAGAAAUGUUGGAAGACAAUCCAUGGAAAGAUGCAACAGAUUUUAAUUUGAAUAUUCCUUUGUUACCAGUUAUUUUUAUGUUAAAUAUUACAAAACCUUAUAUACCUGCAAAAUAUAUUGAGCUGUCUUUAUACAUGAUAACUGCAGCUAGGAUUUUUUAUGCUUUGUAUUGGAAACUCAAUUCCGUCAUUAGGUGAGUGGCAACUUAAGCACUGAAAAUAUGCAUCAAUGGCAAAGAUUACUUCAUACAUAAAGAACAAAUCAGAGGACAAAUUUGUUUUAAUGUGGGAACCGUUUAUACACUAUAAUUUGGUACAUGGAUUAACUCCACAUCCGAGAUUUGGAUUUUCUCUGCAAUAAGGCCACAAGUUUUAUAUUUUCAAUUUUGAUGUUUGUUUAUUCAUGUAGAUAUGUGGGGUUUUUUUAACUGUCAUUGAACUAGAAUUGAAUUAUAAGAGGGGACAUGGUGGGGAAGUGGAAUCCAAGUUGAUGUCUUAGAUAACUGAGAUGUCAUAUUUGUUUCUUUUUCCUUGUUUAAAUAAAAAAUAAAAUAAAAUAAAUUCUCUUUUCA